GUGAAGCUGCAUCAUCCAACAUAGCGAGAUGAAGUACUCAGAAAAAAUUGCAGCAAGUGCGAUUGAUAGUCAGGGAAUUGAUUUGAUUCUGAAUCUUCCGUUCUUCAGGUACUUAUUUCACACUCUCUCUGAUUGGUCAAUGUGCUAUGCAAAGUUGUUAUAUAUAAAUUUGCUUUUAUACAUGUCUGCAUCAUAAUUAAUGUUAUUCCCUUCUGAAUUAGCAAGAUUUAGACGAUAUAAACAGUAAUAGUAGUUGUCUUUUCAUUUGUUAGAAAACAUAGUGUACAGAAUCGUAGCUGUAUGCAAUGAUUCAUCAUGUAUUUUUUUUAAAUCGCAACCCGUAAUUGUUUGAUGUCGUUAAAUGUCUAUAUUGUUUUGUUUACAUUCUUAAGCUGGCCUCCAUACUAUCUGCAUUGUCCUGGUAGCCUUGGUAGGUUAUAAUACGCAGAUCGAUAAUCCCGGUUCAGUUUGAGCUUUCCAUGUAAUUUUUUACUCAAAUAUUACGAUCACGACUUAACUUAAAUUAGCAGUAUAGUGUCAAUGGGCAUCAACUGAAGCUAAUAAGAUGUUGUUUACUAAAGAACAGCCCCUUGCUACUUGCACAGUAUGUGGCAAAACACCCUAAAUAUUAAAGAAAUCAUACUUGACUGUGAUUACAUUUGGUUGACGCUUACAUGUAUUUCCCAUCAGUAGACCAAGUGGGUAAUCUUCUAUCUCAAGUCCAAGCUUUCAAUGCAUUUUUCUCUUUUUUUCAUGUCUCAGUGAUGAUCUGCAGGGCCGAAUUAUGCCACUGUUGAUGGUGCACAGGUCUGUUGCAUGGUAAACCCAGUAUUGGCCGUCCUUUCAAGCUCCUUUGUUCAUCCUAGAGAAAAAACUGGAAAAACUAUCUUUUAAUCUUUCUAUAGUGCAUUGCUAUGAUUACAUAUAUGGAUACAUCAUUUCGAUGUGUCUAGAGACCUAAAGCCUUUUAAGAGUUAACUGCCAAACUGGGGAGUGAUGUCAUAAUUGGAGAUGGGCUUCGUUCAGUUAUUCUUUUUGGGCCUAGAACGAUGAUGUUUGCAGAUGGGCUUUAUUCUGUCAUAAGAGCUUAUCGAUCCAGCAUGCAUAGUUUUGUUUCUUCAGUGUUCUGUGUCUGAGAAAAACAUAUGUUGUUUCCUAUUUGUUUAUGGUCGAGAUGGACGGAUUUUUGUUGUGUGGGCUGGAGGUGGAUUUCUGUUGUGUGGGCUGAAGGUUCUUGAGGUAGGGCACCAGCACCAGCUAAGCUUUCAUUCUGGUGAAAUGUAUGACAUGAUUGAUGAGCAUGCAUAUCUAUAUGGUUUUGUGGACACUGAUUUGGUUCCAUGCCAGUUUAUUUCCUGCAGUUGGUGUGUUUCUUUAUAGAGAUUUUUGUCACUAAAUUAAAUUAGAAACUGAGUGUGUACUGCUUUCACCUUCAGUUUAAACAUGACAUUAUCUUAUUUGUGAAUAGAUGGAAAUUAGCAAGCAAGCUACAGUUAGUGCAUGGAUGACCAAGUUUACUUAUUACUUUAUGAAGAUGAUUCUUAAAUGGAAUUAGGAGCUAGGUCCUGCAUGUUGAUUGUGCUUCAAGGUACAGUUGUCUGUACCUUAUAAAAUUAAAGCUUUUUAUUGGUUGUGCAUCCCAGGACAAAAAUCUUGAUUCAUAGAUAGCCAAAGAAUUGAUUACUCUCUGUCGUUGUAGGGAAGAGGAUGGGAGGAGGGGAUGCGUUGCUCCACAUUUUGUUAUGCACACCUUCAUAAACUAUACUCCCUCUGUAAACUAAUACUCCCUCCGUUUCUUUUUACUCCGCGUAUAAGUUUUGGUCAAAGUCAAACUACAUAAAGUUUGACCAAAUUUAUAUUAAAAAAUAUGAACAUCUACAAUACUUAAACUGUAUAAUAUGAAAAUACAUUUCAUGGUCUGUCUGAAACUGUUGGUUUCAUAUUGUGAAUGUUGAUAUUUUUUAAUAUAAAGUUAGUCAAACUAUGCAAAGAUUGACUUUGACCAAAUCUUAUAUGCAGACUAAAAAGAAACGGAGGGAGUAUAAGAGCAUUUAGAUCACUAAAGUAGUGAUCUAAACGCUCUUAUAUUAGUUUACAGAGGGAGUACUUCUCUUAACAUAUGUUCAUUAUCCAGCAGAAGCUGUAGAUUUCAGAGUACAAUAAUUUCCUGUUUAUACAUGGGAGCAGAGCGGAGGAGGUCGAUGCAGGGUCGAGGAGGGGCACGAGCGAGGGUCAUGCCGCACGGGGGCGCGAUGGGGUGGCCGGGGAGCGUGCAGCGUCUAGCAAGAGAAGGCAGAAACCUGAGAAAAUAAGAUUAGGGAAGUCACACAUGUUUAAAUCAAGGUAGCAUACAUGUAGCCUUACUUGCUAUUUUUGCAUCAUGGAUGCUGAAGUUCCUAGAGGUAAAGCAGAAACCUGAUGUAUAGCAGUGCAAAUGUGCUGUCUGAUAGGCUUUAAAAAUUUCUUAAAGACGAAUGGUUGGACUGAUUUUUUCAAAACAUAAUAAGCACUUGUUUUCUACAGUUGGUAGCAUAUAUAUAGCUUAAGGAGAUUUCAUGUAAUAUACAUCUAAGUUGAAACUUCGGGAUCAUCUUAUAGCCGUUCACUUCUCUCUUUUUUAUUUUGUCUCAUUCCUUCAUUUAAGCAUAAGUUCAGUUUCAUUUGCUCAAGUUAGCUGCCAGUUGAACUUAUAGUUUCUUGCCUUAUAGUGUUUAUUGCAUAAUCCUUUUUUUUCUUCUCUUUUGAAAGCAAGGACCAGGCCACGAACAUAUGUUUAUAAUGCAGUUCUUUCACUGCGUACUGCAUAGUAUCUUAGCUAGGUCUCUCUGGGCAAGUGUAGUUUGCCUGCAGGUAUGACAUGUGUUUGAAUAUAAUCCUUUUCUUGCUUCUCUUUUCAAAGCAAGGACCAGGCUGGCAGGCUGGGAACAUAUUAUAAUGAAAUUCUUUCAUUGUAGACUGCAUAGUAUCUUAGCUAGGUCUCUCCAGCAUGCUACCAAAAAAGGAAUGCUAUUGCUUAUGUUCUCUGAUCAACUGUACCUUGAAUCCUCAAUUUUGUAAUUCUCUAAAGAAUCAUCCAGCACAAACUCUGUUCUUUGAAGAAUUGUACCUGGAUAUUCUGAAGCUUGUGCACUGAUAUUUGUUGUUCAUUUUGCGCUGGAGCUGUGCAACUCUCCUUUAGUUUUUUGAGGUGUCAACAAACUGAAAAUAGUUGCUUCUCACUUCGGAUCGUGUCAUGACUCGUGAGCUCAGAGACAUUAAGCACUGUUAGUUAGAUGUUCCAGUUUAUGUGUAGAGGAAGCUACACGGUGGCUCACGAGUUAGAUGCACUAGCUUAAUCAUUACUCCCUCCGUUCCAAAAUAGAUGACCCAACUUUAUACUAAAGUUAGUACGAAGUUGAGUCAUCUAUUUUGGAACGGAGGGAGUAGGUCUUAGUGAUGUAAUGAUGCUUGGAUAGACUUUAGUAAUGUACUCCCUCCGUCCCAAUAUUCUUGUCUUAGACUUGUCUAGGUACGGAUGUAUCUAAUACUAAAACGUGACUUGAUACAUCCGUAUUUAGACAAAUGUAAGACAAGAAUUUUGGGACGGAGGGAGUAUUAAUUAUAUACCCGUGGAUUACAUCAGAAAUUAAAAGAGUUGCAUGUGAAUAUGCUAGAAUAAGAGAAUAGGUAAAAGGCACCAUAGAGUGCUGCAACGACCAAAACAAACAAAAAUGAAGAUUACAGUGAUGGAUCUUCACAUCCCGAUAGCUAAGGAAACUAACCUUCACAUCCAAAUAAACAAGGGAACUUUUUCUUUUGAAAUGCAAUGUACCUCUUCCAUUACAUAGGCAGUCCAGUUAACUUCUUGGCAGUCGAUGAUGCGAAUACAAAAGUCUGGUACAUCAGUUAACCGCAUAGAGACACGGUCAUCAUCAAGAUAGCACCAAUGUCGUGGACUCGCCGUUGCGUUGGGCUAUGGCACUGUCGUCCGGUCCCGUUACAUGGGGCAGUGCUGAGGCCGCUGGCUUGCCGUCGCAUCAGGGCAGCACCAUGUCAGCACGGUCGCCGGUGCAUGGUGCGGCACCCGCCAUCGCGUGGGGGCCGUGCCUGGUCGCUGUUUGAUUCACCACAAGUGCUCUUUAGGUUACCAAGGGGUUUUUAAUUGAGCAUUCAACUCCGCCUUCGUCAGUAUAAAAAAAUCAUGGAGGUUUGGUGUCUUCUUUAUUACCUGGGUGCAUUAUGUACUAUGCAUGGUACUAACUGUGAGUAUUGUUGUCAGUCAAUAUGCAUUCGUCUACUUUGGAUCUUUUUUUUCUUACUUUAUACUUGCUUUGCUAUUUGUCGUGCAUGCACAUGAUUUGGAUUGAUCUACUUAGAAGCAUGAGUUUAUGAAAAUCGAUAUCUACCAGGAUUGCUCUGCUCCUGUUGACAUGCGAUGCCAAUUGUGACAUGACAGAUUUGUCUGAAGUGGAACGGAUGGUCGUCACCUUUGACUAAGCUGCUAAGCCCAAGAAAUGUGACAGACUGGUGGCCUAGCUGUUCAACUUCUCAACACGGUUCAAUUUUGUCUUUGGUCAUCCUUGCAUACACUCGGCAGAGAAGUAUCUAUACUGAAUUUCUGCUCUAGGUAGUUUAUACUCAUAUAAUUUAUCUCUAAUACGCAGUCCGAAUCAUUAGUGCUAGAUCGACAAUUUUUAAGCCCUAUUUGUGGAAGUGCAUUGCAUGUGUAACUAAACUGGGCUCGACCAAUCUUGAGGUUUACCAUGAAUUUUUAUAAAAUGGUCCGUAAGCAAGGCAUGGGGCAAUCACGAAUAGCUCAUAUAUUGAGGGUAUGUGCCCCUUGUGCUAUAUUUGUAGCAGGUUGUACUCAGCAUAAAUUGUGAGGUUUGAUUUGGCAGAGAAGGACCGAGAUAGUCUGGUCUUACCUACAUAUAGGAGUCGUUAUUGAGGACUGAGCAUCGAGCGUGAUUCUGUUUCCAGUCCAUGUAGAUUAGCCAUUUGACGACUUAGCUAGAAACUUUAUAGGUUUUUAGUAUAUAUAUCUUCAGUUAUGUUGUCAUGCUGUAACAUGAAUUAAUAGAAAAUAACCAUGUAGUAUCUUUUUUUUAUACGAGUAAAGUGUGUACAAUAAAUUUGCAAAAAUGGUCCAUCAACUAGCUGAAUAAAGAAACACUCUAUGGGAAAGGCGGACAAGCACACUAAAGCACACAAGUCGUAGUAAUUCCAAAGUAUUUUUAUAACUGCGUUUUAGUAGACUAUGUCAUGAUUUGCUUUUUCUGAACCUUGAUAACAUUAUCCUGGAUUUGAGACAACAGUCUACAAAUUUUUCCCUUUAUUUUUUAUCAUUGUGAAGACCAAAUCUACAAAAUCAACCAGUUGUGAAUUCAUCAAGUACGAGACCUCUGUCUAUAUCAUUUCUGCAGGUCAAACAUGAAAGGAUGCCGGCUGAUUGCUUUUCCAAAACUGAUGUUUCAUGUCUUGAAACUUUCCCCAUUUUUGUUUUCAGAGGACAAAUGAUAUCUCGGAUUAGUUAGCUUCUUUUUACAGUUCCUAUCCAUUGAACUAUAUGCAAUUUUCAGCUAGACCUCUUUUUUACAGUUCCUAUCCAUUGAACUAUAUGCAGUGUCAGCCCACUGUAAAUCUCUGUUAAGUGCUCCUUUCUCUUUACCUUUUUACUCCCGUGUCUCUGAUUUUGAUUUCAUAAUCUAUGUUUUUAGCUAGGCACCAUGUUUGCGGAUUUCAUAAAGAAGGGUAGAUGAAGAAGCUAUCAGAAGAUUUUGUUGAAUGAAACUUGCAUUAUGAUGUUACGAGUGUAGAAAUAUAUUCUGCAUUUUUAGGAAAUUAGAUAAUAGGACCGGCGAAGGCUAGCCAACUUGCCUCCAGAGGGCUCCCUCGCGCGCAGCCCUUUGUGGCCGUCUGAUCUGGCCUUCGGCGCGUCUGGAUCGUUGGAUAUUCCCCUUACGGUCAAAUAUUUUUCACCUCACGGGUGUUUUUCGUGUCCAAUGAAGGGUGGAAUCGCCUCGAGCUCGCAUUGGCAGGGUCACUCUCGCGCAUGUGCGGGACGUUUUUGCCCAAUCCGCUGCUCACGCACCGCAUUGACCUCCUUGCCCAAUCCCCUCGUGCCGCACCAGCUGAACCUUAGCCCCUUUCCACGAUCCCCACAGCAGCCACACCCUCUCCUCGCUCGCAGCCGCCUCCUCUCCUUUCCCCCACGCCGCCGGCCUUGUCUUUUCAUUUCUUAUGUGAAAUAAAUCAUCAGUGGCAUUCUUGGUUUCCCAUAUUGUUUUUGGUUAUAGAUUUAAAGUGACCUUUUCUGUUUUUUGCAAACCAGAGGGGUUGUUCCAAUUAUAAAUGUAUUGCAACUUCUUUUGGCUGCUAUAAAAUGCCUGGUUGCUCAAUAUAGUAGAUGCAUGUGAGACUACACAUUGUUGCAAUAUUAGUUCUUAACUUCAUGAGCAAUGAAUAUAACAUUUUACCGGAGAUCAUACAAAUGUGAUUGACAUUAUGGUGUUUACAACACGACAUGUCACCUCAAUGCCAUUUGUGAAGAACAAGUAUGUGGCUCGGGAGGGCCUGGGUUGACGGAUGCUGUCAUCAGGAGUGGCCACAUUGUUGGGUCCUCAACAAUUUUGACUGAAGAUUCCUGGACUUUAUCAUUGUGAAAUCAUGUGAGCAGAGGUGUUCCAGGAAUUCUUUGGGAAGACGUGUGUAUAUAUGCCAUGUGUCCCACUAUCAUUUUUUGUCUUUGUGAGUUGCUGAAAAGAUCUUAGUCAUUUCAACUCAGAUGAAGUUGUUAGGAUGAUUAGGUCGCAGCUUAUGCAAAAUGUAUUGUGACAGAUUUAGAUAAAUUCUGGAGGGGUGAAACCUUUGAAGUCAUAGCUAACAUGGCUCUAUGUUACUCCGAUAAGGUAACAAGCUAUGCAUGCUUAAAUAUAUGUUUUCAAAGAUAAAUUGUCCUUCAUUUUUCGCCUUAAAGGCUU
This 6959-nucleotide long non-coding RNA is filed under the name Triticum aestivum (bread wheat). RNAcentral describes it as "long non-coding RNA (TAES_LNC012144)". The stretch from base 3464 to 3598 matches the Rfam family "MIR1120/MIR1122 microRNA precursor family". Lineage: Eukaryota; Viridiplantae; Streptophyta; Magnoliopsida; Poales; Poaceae. The record is from RNAcentral.